This 400-nucleotide ribosomal RNA is filed under the name uncultured bacterium. RNAcentral's name for it is "bacterial SSU rRNA". It matches the Rfam family "Bacterial small subunit ribosomal RNA", at positions 1 to 416 of the family's 1533-position model. The record is from RNAcentral.
GGAAUUCGAUUAGAGUUUGAUCCUGGCUCAGGAUAAACGCUGGCGGCGUGCCUAACACAUGCAAGUCGGACGCGCUCAGCAAUGAGCGAGUGGCGGACGGGUGAGUAACACGUGGGAACCUACCUUGAGGUGAGGGAUACCGGCGAGAAAUCGUCGACAAGACCGCAUAGGCUCGGCAACGAGCAAAGCUCUUUCGGGAGCGCCACAGGAUGGGCCCGCGGCCGAUUAGUUAGUUGGUGGGGUAACGGCUCACCAAGGCGGCGAUCGGUAGCUGGUCUGAGAGGACGAUCAGCCACACUGGGAUUGAGAACGGCCCAGACUCCUACGGGGGGCAGCAGUGAGGAAUUUUCCGCAAUGGAGGCAACUCUGACGGAGCAACGCCGCGUGCAGGAAGACGGCC